This 267-nucleotide ribosomal RNA is filed under the name uncultured bacterium. RNAcentral describes it as "partial 16S ribosomal RNA". It matches the Rfam family "Bacterial small subunit ribosomal RNA", at positions 793 to 1055 of the family's 1533-position model. The record is from RNAcentral.
GUCCUAGCCGUAAACGGUGCACGUUUGCUGUAAAAGGAAUCGACCCCUUUUGUGGCGAAGCUAACGCGUUAAACGUGCCGCCUGGGAAGUACGGUCGCAAGAUUAAAACUCAAAGAAAUUGACGGGGGCCUGCACAAGCGGUGGAGUAUGUGGCUUAAUUCGAUGCAACGCGAAGAACCUUACCUGGCCUUGACAUGCACAUAGUAGAAGCCUGAAAGGGUGACGAGGUAGCAAUACCAGUGUGCACAGGUGCUGCAUGGCUGUCGU